UUAUACAUGCAAGUCGUACGAGGGCUUUUAGCCUUAGUGGCGGACGGGUGAGUAACACGUGAGAAUCUGCCCUUAGGAGGAGGAUAACAGCUGGAAACGGUUGCUAAUACUCCAUAUGCCGAGAGGUGAAAGGAUUUAUCCACCUAAGGAGGAGCUCGCGUCUGAUUAGCUAGUUGGUAGGGUAAUGGCCUACCAAGGCGACGAUCAGUAGCUGGUUUGAGAGGAUGAUCAGCCACACUGGGACUGAGACACGGCCCAGACUCCUACGGGAGGCAGCAGUAGGGAAUUUUCCGCAAUGGGCGAAAGCCUGACGGAGCAAUACCGCGUGAGGGAUGACGGCCUGUGGGUUGUAAACCUCUUUUCUCAAGGAAGAAGUUCUGACGGUACUUGAGGAAUAAGCAUCGGCUAACUCUGUGCCAGCAGCCGCGGUAAUACAGAGGAUGCAAGCGUUAUCCGGAAUCACUGGGCAUAAAGCGUCUGUAGGUGGUUUGGUAAGUCUGCUGUUAAAGACUGGGGCUCAACCCCAGAAAAGCAGUGGAAACUGCCAGACUUGAGUGUGGUAGAGGUAGAGGGAAUUCCUAGUGUAGCGGUGAAAUGCGUAGAUAUUAGGAAGAACACCAAUGGCGAAGGCACUCUACUGGACCAUAACUGACACUGAGAGACGACAGCUAGGGGAGCAAAUGGGAUUAGAUACCCCAGUAGUCCUAGCCGUAAACGAUGGAUACUAGAUGUUGCACGUAUUAACCCGUGCAGUAUCGUAGCUAAGGCGUUAAGUAUCCCGCCUGGGAAGUACGCUCGCAAGAGUGAAACUCANAGGAAUUGACGGGGGCCCGCACAAGCGGUGGAGUAUGUGGUUUAAUUCGAUGCAACGCGAAGAACCUUACCAGGGCUUGACAUGUCACAAAUCUUUCUGAAAGGAAAGAGUGCCUUCGGGAAUGUGAACACAGGUGGUGCAUGGCUGU
RNAcentral lists this ribosomal RNA (962 nucleotides) under uncultured cyanobacterium. Its description in RNAcentral is "bacterial SSU rRNA". It matches the Rfam family "Bacterial small subunit ribosomal RNA", at positions 49 to 1052 of the family's 1533-position model. Lineage: Bacteria; Bacillati; Cyanobacteriota. The record is from RNAcentral.